This 137-nucleotide ribosomal RNA is filed under the name uncultured bacterium. RNAcentral's name for it is "partial 16S ribosomal RNA". It matches the Rfam family "Bacterial small subunit ribosomal RNA", at positions 394 to 526 of the family's 1533-position model. The record is from RNAcentral.
ACGCCGCGUGAGUGAGAAGGCCUUCGGGUUGUAAAGCUCUGUCGUCCGGGAAGAAAAGCGCAGGCUCACUGCCUGCGCCCUGACGGUACCUUACUAGAAAGCCCCGGCUAACUACGUGCCAGCAGCCGCGGUAAUAA